UACGUAGGGGGCAAGCGUUGUCCGGAUUUAUUGGGCGUAAAGAGCGUGUAGGCGGCCUGACAGGUCUGUUGUGAAAACUCGAGGCUCAACCUCGAGAUGUCGGCGGAAACCGUCUGGCUAGAGUCCGGAAGAGGAGAGUGGAAUUCCUGGUGUAGCGGUGAAAUGCGCAGAUAUCAGGAAGAACACCCGUGGCUAAGGCGGCUCUCUAGUACGGUACUGACGCUGAGACGCGAAAGCGUGGGGAGCGAACAGG
This 253-nucleotide ribosomal RNA is filed under the name uncultured bacterium. Its description in RNAcentral is "partial 16S ribosomal RNA". It matches the Rfam family "Bacterial small subunit ribosomal RNA", at positions 524 to 776 of the family's 1533-position model. The record is from RNAcentral.